This 400-nucleotide ribosomal RNA is filed under the name phytoplankton environmental sample. RNAcentral's name for it is "partial small subunit ribosomal RNA". It matches the Rfam family "Eukaryotic small subunit ribosomal RNA", at positions 587 to 984 of the family's 1831-position model. The record is from RNAcentral.
AGCUCCAAUAGCGUAUAUUAAAGUUGUUGCAGUUAAAAAGCUCGUAGUUGGAUAUCUGGUGAGGUGGUCUGUUCUGCAGCUAACGCUGCGGAGACGUGUACCUAACUUUACCAUUUUUGGGUGGAUGCGUGCUGGCAUUAGGUUGUCGGUGCGUGGAAACCCAUCGUUUACUGUGAAAAAAUUAGAGUGUUCAAAGCAGGCUUACGCCGUUGGAUACAUUAGCAUGGAAUAAUAAGAUAGGGCCUUGUGCGUCUGAUUUGUUGGUUUGCACGCCAGGGUAAUGAUUAACAGGGAUAGUUGGGGGUAUUCGUAUUCAAUUGUCAGAGGUGAAAUUCUUGGAUUUCUGGAAGACGAACUACUGCGAAAGCAUUUACCAAGGAUGUUUUCAUUAAUCAAGAAC